AUUGAACGCUGGCGGCAGGCUUAACACAUGCAAGUCGAGCGGGGUGAUGGUGCUUGCACUAUCACUUAGCGGCGGACGGGUGAGUAAUGCUUAGGAAUCUGCCUAUUAGUGGGGGACAACAUCUCGAAAGGGAUACUAAUACCGCAUACGUCCUACGGGAGAAAGCAGGGGAUCACUGGUGACCUUGCGCUAAUAGAUGAGCCUAAGUCGGAUUAGGUAGUUGGUGGGGUAAAGGCCUACCAAGGCGACGAUCUGUAGCGGGUCUGAGAGGAUGAUCCGGCACACUGGGACUGAGACACGGCCCAGACUCCUACGGGAGGCAGCAGUGGGGAAUAUUGGACAAUGGGGGGAACCCUGAUCCAGCCAUGCCGCGUGUGUGAAGAAGGUCUUAGGAUUGUAAAGCACUUUAAGUUGGGAGGAAGAGCAGUUAACUAAUAUUUGACUGUUUUGACGUUACCGACAGAAUAAGCACCGGCUAACUUCGUGCCAGCAGCCGCCGCCG
RNAcentral lists this ribosomal RNA (502 nucleotides) under uncultured bacterium. Its description in RNAcentral is "partial 16S ribosomal RNA". It matches the Rfam family "Bacterial small subunit ribosomal RNA", at positions 30 to 523 of the family's 1533-position model. The record is from RNAcentral.